GAUGAACGCUAGCUACAGGCUUAACACAUGCAAGUCGAGGGGUAACAAGAGGAAAGCUUGCUUUUCUUGUUGACGACCGGCGCACGGGUGAGUAACGCGUAUCCAACCUGCCUAUAACUAGGGAAUAACCUUGCGAAAGUAAGACUAAUACCCUAUGAUUUCCUUUGAUAACAUCAGAUUAGGAAUAAAGAUUUAUCGGUUAUAGAUGGGGAUGCGUCUGAUUAGCUUGUUGGCGGGGUAACGGCCCACCAAGGCAACGAUCAGUAGGGGUUCUGAGAGGAAGGUCCCCCACAUUGGAACUGAGACACGGUCCAAACGCCUACGGGAGGCAGCAGUGAGGAAUAUUGGUCAAUGGGCGGAAGCCUGAACCAGCCAAGUAGCAUGCAGGAUGACGGCCCUAUGGGUUGUAAACUGCUCUUAUACAGGAAUAAAGUUAGCCACGUGUGGUUAUUUGUAGGUACUGUAUGAAUAAGGACCGGCUAAUUCCGUGCCAGCCGCCGCCGUAA
RNAcentral lists this ribosomal RNA (506 nucleotides) under uncultured bacterium. Its description in RNAcentral is "partial 16S ribosomal RNA". It matches the Rfam family "Bacterial small subunit ribosomal RNA", at positions 28 to 523 of the family's 1533-position model. The record is from RNAcentral.